CGCGGCCUAUCAGCUUGUUGGUGGGGUAACGGCCUACCAAGGCGAUGACGCGUAGCGGAUCCGAGAGGAUGAUCCGUCACAUUGGGACUGAGAUACGGCCCAGACUCCUACGGGAGGCAGCAGUAGGGAAUAUUGCGCAAUGGGCGAAAACCUGACGCAGCGACGCCGCGUGUGGGAGGAAGCUCUUCGGAGUGUAAACCACUGUCAGAGGGGAAGAACCUCGCCGAGGUAAACAGUCUCGGCGACUGACGGUACCCUCAAAGGAAGCGCCGGCUAACUCCGUGCCAGCAGCCGCGGUAACACGGGGGGCGCAAGCGUUGUUCGGAAUUACUGGGCGUAAAGCGCGGGCAGGCGGUCCGUAAAGUCGUUUGUGAAAAUCCGGGGCUCAACCCCGCGAAAUGCAGACGAUACUGGCGGACUGGAGACCGGUAGAGGCUAGUGGAAUUCCUGGUGUAGCGGUGGAAUGCGUAGAUAUCAGGAAGAACACCUGUGGCGAAGGCGGCUAGCUGGGCCGGGUCUGACGCUCAUCCGCGAAAGCGUGGGGAGCAAACAGGAUUAGAUACCUGGUAGUCCACGCCGUAAACGAUGGGCACUAGGUGCCGGGUCUAAAGACGGAGUCGGUGCCGUAGCUAACGCAUUAAGUGCCCCGCCUGGGGAGUACGG
Molecule: ribosomal RNA, 663 nt
Filed under: uncultured Actinomycetes bacterium
Lineage: Bacteria; Bacillati; Actinomycetota; Actinomycetes
Description: bacterial SSU rRNA
Rfam family: Bacterial small subunit ribosomal RNA
Source: RNAcentral